UUACUGCACAAGGUGAGUAACAAUUUCUUCUUCUUCUUCGAGUGAUGGGUGCUCCACUAUAGGUGAGUAUGAAGCAGUAAUCCAAACGGCUGAUCGUGCUUCGGAAUUAUCUGUGUACAGAAGAAAGAACUGCUUGAGCGACUGCUACGUCCAUAGCUCUGAAACGAUCAAGGGCAUAACGCCUAGCAAACAUGGAUGACGACGACCAGGUUGCCGCGUGGCAUAUGUCUCGUAGCGGGACGUUCUUCAGGAAUGCUGCGGAAGUUGCCAUGCUCCUGGUCGAGUGUGCUGUUGGUGCACAGGGCAGAGGCCUGCCCCUAAGGGUGUAGCAGCGAGUGAUGCAGUUAACGAUAUGCGACAAUAUACGUUGUGAUGACAGUUGAUGACCUUUAGAAUGGUUCGCCACUGAUAAUAGUAAUCGUGGGGACUUCCGGAAGGGACACGUUCUGUCCAAGUAGAAUGCAAGCACCCUUCUGACGUCUAGUGUAUGUAAGCACGCUUCCUCAGGCAUAGCAUGUGGCUUGGGGUAGAAGGUAGGAAAAACUAUAGGCUCAUUGACGUGGAAUGACAAAUUAACUUUUGGGACAAAGGCUAGGUGACAUCUCAGCGUGGUGCCCUGUUGAGUGAAUACUGUGUAGGGAGGAUCGGCGGAGAGUGCAGCGAGUUUGGAAACUCGGCAGGCCGAGGUGAUCACGAGGAGAAAGGCAACUUUAAUAGUGAGAGUCUGUAAGUCAAAAGUUGCGAGCGGUUCGAAUGGUGGGCGAGUAAGAGUGUCCAAUACGAAGGUAAGGUCCCAUGGUUCUGGGGUAGGCCUGUGUGGUGGGUAGAGAUUGGAAAUACCCUUAAAGAACCUCUUCGUGAGUGGAUGUGAGAAGAUGGAAAAACCCUCUAUCGGAGUGUGAAAAGCUGAAAUCACUGCCAAAUGUACUCUCAGGGAAGCGACCGCCAAGCCAUGUGAAUGCAAGUGGAGUAUUUAGUCUAGGAUGCAUUGGAUAUGUGCCUGGAGAGGAUCAAUGGCCUGUGCGUGGUACCAGGCGUAGAAGCAACGCCACUUGUAGAGGUAAGACCACUGAGUGGUCUGCUACCUGCUUUGUACCAACACGUCUCCAACUGCUUGGGAGCAGGUUAGUUCUAGCCCUUGAAGCCAGUUAGGAGCCAUGCUGUCAGAUGCAACCGGUCGAUGUUUGGAUUGAGAAGAUUGCUGCGUUGUUGCGAGAGCAAGUUGUGCAGUUGUGGAAGUCGUUGAGGUCGGGAUAGCGACAUCUGCAUGAGCUGCGUCAGCCAGGUCUGACUAGGCCAGAAGGGAGCCACCAGGAUUACUGUCGCUGCAUCAGCUAGUAUUUUCCCUAUCACUCAGUAUCAGCGGAAUCGGGGGAAAGGCGUAUAGAUUAUAUGUCCCCCAAUUGAGCAGGAAGGCAUCUCCCUUAGAUUGGCUGCCUAUGCCAGCUCUUGAGCAGUAACAGCGGCAUUUCUUGUUGUCGUGGGUGGCAAAGAGGUUGAUUUCUGGAUAGCCCCAUAGUUGAAAAAGAUCGCGGGCUACGUAGUCGAGGAGUUCCCAUUCGUGUUGGGAGUGGAAGGAUCUGCUGAGUGCAUCUGCAAUGGUAUUGAUCCUGCCGGGGAGGUAGGAGGCUAUGAGUGUGACGCCGUGGCGAAUCGCCCAGUUCCAAAGGCGUACCGAUUCCGCACAUAAAGUUCAGGAUCUGGCUCCGCCCUGGCGAUUGAUGUAGUAUACAGUGCACAUGUUGUACAUGAGAACAUGUAGUGUGGUUCCCUGGAUCUGAUGGACAAAGUGGCGGCAAGCAUUGAAAACUGCCCUGAGCUCCAGGAAGUUUAUAUGGAGUAGGGAUUCCUGGUGGAACCACAAGCCUUGGACGUGAUGCUUUCACAUAUGUGCUCCCCAGCCUACAAGGGACACGUCUGUGGUAAGCUGGAUUGACGGGGCGUGAGCGCAGAAGGGGACACCCGCAAGAGUAUUGGCAGGGUCGAGCCACAGGGUUGUGGAUACUGGUGAUACCGGGUUUGUAGACUGCCAGAAGCCAAUGUUGCAGGCACCGCAUACAAAGAUGAGCGUGUGCUAUCACAUACGUUGUAGACGCCAUGUGGCCUAACAGCUUCAGGCAGGUAAGGUACGAGACUGCCAGGGCAGUAAGCAGGACGCUCGAUAGGUCUCGGUUGGCGUGAGCUCUGUCUAUGGGUAGGUAUGCCAUAGCGGUUGUAGAAUCCAGUCUGGCGCCAAUGAAUUCGAUGGACUGGGCCAGGCCCAGAGAAGAUUUUGGAAGAUCGUAUUAGUCCAAGAGUCUCAAAUACCUCUUGUAGCAGUAACUGUGGUCUCAGUCUCUUGCAUAGAGGGGGCCGUGAGGAGGCAGUCGUCGAGAUAGGGACAAAUGGUGAUGCCGGCCCAUCGAAGGUACGCAGCUACGACUGCCAGGGUCUUUAAAAACACUCUUGGGGCUGCGGAGAGACCGAAGGGAAGCACUGCAUAUUGGUAGUGAUCAUUGCCAUGCCCAGGGUAAAGCUUAGAAAUCUUCUGUGAGCUGGAUGGACGGAAAUAUGGAAGUACACGUCCUGGAGCUCGAGGGACGUGAACCAAUCUCCUUGGUGUAGCGCUGGGAUGAUGGAGCCCAAAGUAACCAUUUUGAAUUUCUGUUUCCGCAGGUGGCAGUUGAGUCCACGAAGAUCCAGGAUCUGUCUCCAUCUGCCAGAUUUCUCGGUGAGGAAGUACCGGGAAUAAAAGCCUCUGCCUCGGAACUCGGGAGGAACUUCUUCUACUGCACCGAUGGGGGCAUGGACGCUGGGGUCUGCCAGAUGUCAUUAGAUAUUUCAAGGAUCACGGCAUCGAAAGGGAGAGCCAGCUUCGACUUGUUGGACUGUUGGAGGUUUCUGAGGAGGGCAUGCUGCUUCUGUGGUGCCUUGGAGGAGAGGAGCAUGUUCCAAGUCUGUCUGCGGCCGUGGACGGCUAGGAGGAACUGGCGCGUCGGACCGCGUGAUGCAGAAAAGGCGCGAACGGCACGGGACAGCUCUGCGCAUGCGCAGUCCUCCGGAGGGGGCUACUGCUGAUAAAAACUUUCCGGAUUGCGGCACCGGGACAAGCCCAACACCUAUAGUGGAGCACCCACAGGGACAUCACUCGAAGAAGAAUAACUCUUACGCUCUGUUCUGACGCUGUACUGUAAAUUUACUUGCACAAGAACAUGUGUGCAGUGUAGACACUCCACACAUUUUUGCACAAAAAGCGUGCAGUGUAGACAGCCUCAAUAUAUUUCUGAAGCAGUAAUUUUUGUUAUAGGCAAGCCACCUGGCUGAUCACUCCCUGAUCACUUACCUGCUGGUUGAGCCAAUCAAGCCUCAUUCGGAGAAAUGUUAGAUAUCUGCCUAGGUAAGCCAUAUGUCUCUUCAGUGGCUCAUUAAGGAAAGAGCAUGCUGGUCUACUCUGAGUGAUGGCUUUGCUGACCGCACUGGGAAGUGUUUUUAAAACACUAGCACUCAUAUUAGCCGGUUACAUAAACUACAUAUUAUGGCAACAUAAUAGAGACUCGUGACUGGAUUAACAAAAGGUACUUAAGCAGCUAAUCAGGGGCUUAGGCUUCACAAUAAUGCAGAGAACUCUCCCCAGAUCCCAUAGGUGACUAAACCCACUUGGUUCCUAAAUUUUCAGGAAUAAAAGCUCCCCAGACACUGAUGUUUCUUCCUCUGAUCAUGAGCACUCUUGGCCUGCGGAUGCCUACUUCCUGCCUGAGGCCAGGUUUACAUUAGACCUGGAAAGUUGAGCUAAGGCAGUGGUCUCCAACCUUUUUACACCCAAGAUCACUUUUUAAAUGACAGAGCAAGCCAAUCAGUUACGAGGUAAGAAACCGUUCUUUCUUCGAGUGAUUGCUCAUGUGCAUUCCAAAGCAGAACCUAUGGAGGAGGGCCGGAUAUUGAAGCUACGGGGGAGUGGAGGACCGCCCUGCCCAGGGCAGCAUCUUCCCUGGCUUGAUGCAUUAGUGCAUAGUGAUUGGCGAAGGUAUGGACAGAGGCUCUGCAGAUGUCCAGGAUGGGAACCUGUGCCAUGAAAGUGGUGGAGGCCACCACAGCUCUUGUGGAG
Long non-coding RNA from Pelodiscus sinensis (Chinese soft-shelled turtle), 4084 nucleotides. RefSeq lists it as uncharacterized. The record is from RefSeq and is a predicted model, not a curated record. Lineage: Eukaryota; Metazoa; Chordata; Testudines; Trionychidae.